This 497-nucleotide ribosomal RNA is filed under the name uncultured bacterium. RNAcentral describes it as "partial 16S ribosomal RNA". It matches the Rfam family "Bacterial small subunit ribosomal RNA", at positions 28 to 507 of the family's 1533-position model. The record is from RNAcentral.
GACGAACGCUGGCGGCGUGCCUAAUACAUGCAAGUAGAACGCUGAAGAGAGGAGCUUGCUCUUCUUGGAUGAGUUGCGAACGGGUGAGUAACGCGUAGGUAACCUGCCUUGUAGCGGGGGAUAACUAUUGGAAACGAUAGCUAAUACCGCAUAACAAUGGAUGACACAUGUCAUUUAUUUGAAAGGGGCAAUUGCUCCACUACAAGAUGGACCUGCGUUGUAUUAGCUAGUAGGUGAGGUAAUGGCUCACCUAGGCGACGAUACAUAGCCGACCUGAGAGGGUGAACAGCCUCACCGGGACUGAGGCACGGCCCAGAUUACUACAGGAAGCAGAAGAAGGGAAAUUUCGGCAAGGGGGGGAACCCAGAACGGACAAACCCGCGUGAGAGAAGAAGGUUUUCGGAGCGUAGAGCUCUGUUGUAAGUCAAGAACGGGUGUGAGAGUGAAAAGUUCACACUGUGACGGUAGCUUACCAGAAAGGGACGGCUAACUACGUG